Molecule: ribosomal RNA, 1502 nt
Filed under: uncultured bacterium
Lineage: Bacteria
Description: bacterial SSU rRNA
Rfam family: Bacterial small subunit ribosomal RNA
Source: RNAcentral
UAGAGUUUGAUCAUGGCUCAGGAUGAACGCUAGCGACAGGCUUAACACAUGCAAGUCGAGGGGCAUCGGGGCGAGGAGCAAUCCUUGCCGCCGGCGACCGGCGCACGGGUGAGUAACGCGUAUGCGACCUGCCCGUUGCAGGGGGAUAAUCGGGAGAAAUCCCGUCUAAUACCGCGUAAUGCCGCGGGGCUGCAUGGCCCUGCGGCCAAAGGGAGCGAUUCCGGCAACGGAUGGGCAUGCGUGACAUUAGCUAGUUGGCGGGGCAACGGCCCACCAAGGCGACGAUGUCUAGGGGUUCUGAGAGGAAGGUCCCCCACACUGGUACUGAGACACGGACCAGACUCCUACGGGAGGCAGCAGUGAGGAAUAUUGGUCAAUGGGCGCGAGCCUGAACCAGCCAAGUCGCGUGAGGGAUGACGGCCCUACGGGUUGUAAACCUCUUUUGUCGGGGAGCAAAUUCCGCCACGUGUGGCGGAGUCGAGAGUACCCGAAGAAAAAGCAUCGGCUAACUCCGUGCCAGCAGCCGCGGUAAUACGGAGGAUGCGAGCGUUAUCCGGAUUUAUUGGGUUUAAAGGGUGCGUAGGCGGACUGUCAAGUCAGCGGUAAAAUACGGGGGCUCAACCUCCGCCCGCCGUUGAAACUGACGGUCUUGAGUGGGCGAGAAGUAUGCGGAAUGCGUGGUGUAGCGGUGAAAUGCAUAGAUAUCACGCAGAACUCCGAUUGCGAAGGCAGCAUACCGGCGCCCGACUGACGCUGAGGCACGAAAGCGUGGGGAUCGAACAGGAUUAGAUACCCUGGUAGUCCACGCAGUAAACGAUGAAUGCUAGUUGUCCGGUUCUUUGGGACUGGGUGACACAGCGAAAGCGUUAAGCAUUCCACCUGGGGAGUACGCCGGCAACGGUGAAACUCAAAGGAAUUGACGGGGGCCCGCACAAGCGGAGGAACAUGUGGUUUAAUUCGAUGAUACGCGAGGAACCUUACCCGGGCUCAAACGUCGGAGGACGUGUGGAGAAAUCCGCAUUUCCCUCGGGACUUCCGACGAGGUGCUGCAUGGUUGUCGUCAGCUCGUGCCGUGAGGUGUCGGCUUAAGUGCCAUAACGAGCGCAACCCCCAUCUACAGUUGCUAACAGGUGAAGCUGAGGACUCUGUGGAGACUGCCGGCGCAAGCUGUGAGGAAGGCGGGGAUGACGUCAAAUCAGCACGGCCCUUACGUCCGGGGCGACACACGUGUUACAAUGGCAGGUACAGAGAGAAGCAAUGCGGCGACGCAAAGCGGAACUUGAAAGCCUGUCUCAGUUCGGAUUGGAGUCUGCAACUCGACUCCAUGAAGCUGGAUUCGCUAGUAAUCGCGCAUCAGCCAUGGCGCGGUGAAUACGUUCCCGGGCCUUGUACACACCGCCCGUCAAGCCAUGGAAGCCGGGAGUGCCUGAAGUGUGCAACCGCAAGGAGCGCCCUAAGGUAAAACUGGUGACUGGGGCUAAGUCGUAACAAGGUAACCGUAA